This 301-nucleotide ribosomal RNA is filed under the name uncultured bacterium. Its description in RNAcentral is "partial 16S ribosomal RNA". It matches the Rfam family "Bacterial small subunit ribosomal RNA", at positions 509 to 807 of the family's 1533-position model. The record is from RNAcentral.
CAGCCGCCGCGGGAAUACGGAGGAUCCGAGCGUUAUCCGGAAUUAUUGGGUUUAAAGGGUGCGUAGGCGGAUAGAUAAGUCAGUGGUGAAAGACGGUGGCUCAACCAUCGCAGUGCCGUUGAUACUGUUUAUCUUGAAUAUGGAUGAGGUAGGCGGAAUGUGGCAAGUAGCGGUGAAAUGCAUAGAUAUGCCACAGAACACCGAUUGCGAAGGCAGCUUACCAAGGCAAAAUUGACGCUGAGGCACGAAAGCGUGGGGAUCGAACAGGAUUAGAUACCCCGGUAGUCCCUGUCUCUUAUAC